Rattus norvegicus (Norway rat) is the source of this 631-nucleotide non-coding RNA. NCBI's taxonomy places the organism in Eukaryota, Metazoa, Chordata, Mammalia, Rodentia, Muridae. The record is from RefSeq and is a predicted model, not a curated record.
AUAUAAUAUUUGCAUCUCCUAAGAAACAGUGGAACUUAGAAGAAUGGUUAUAGAUUUUUAGGAGAUAAGAAUUCUAAUUCAAACAUCAUGAUUGAUGAUGGACUUUAAAGUAAGAAGGAUUCUAGAAAACAACCCGUUAGCUAAUGACAUUGAGGAAAUUGAAGAACUCUGGAUGACUACAGUAUUAAAUUUGUCUUUACUGAGAAACCUCCUGACUCGGCACUGAUUUAUCUACAGAAAAUGUCUUCCCAACUUGUCAUACGUUCUUCUGUUUUUAUAUUGAAGUUGUUUUCAGUGAAAUAUGUUUUAUAACUUGAGCUUAGCUUUCUCCAUACAGGACUUUCACUGUACAGCACUUGAUCUAGGUCUGCCAUGGGGCUAGCUACUGCAAGAUUUACUCAAAGAGUACAAAGUCUCCAAAGACCUGGCACAGAUCUGAAUCCUAGAGAAUAUCAUUCAGAACUAGUCAUCCUCAAGUUGAUCAUUGGUCCCAUACAAAGUUCAAAACAAAAGCUGUUUGACAAGAGUAACAUUCAGGAAGAUGUAAUGAAGAAGUUAAGUGCUGAAUAUUUCUGAAAACUCUUUAGUUCCUAAGGAAGUAAAUAAUAAAAUUGAAUUUCCUUAUCAGGCA